AGACAGACAGAGACAGAGACAGGGACAGGGACAGAGAGAGACAGAGAGAGACAGAGGAGAACUGAAGGGGAGAUUUGACCUCCCUGAUAUGGACUACAUGAGGGAGGACACAAAGGUCAAACAGCAGCACUUGAUCUCUUCCUGGUGCGUCCUCCACAGACUCCUCCCCUGGUUUAUCAGAGACUCUGAAUCUGUUCAGACCGAUCCUUUUCUAAGCUUUGUAUCUCUGGAGUCUCAAACAUGAACCAAACAAAGACCCUGAAGCUGGACCAGCAUCGUGUUUUCAGACCUGUGAGGGGGAUCAUUAUGAGACUUGUUGAACUCUAAUAUUAUAACAUGAAGUUAACUCUGUGUGACGUUAGAGAGGACUGAGAUCCAGACCACGCUUCUGUCCAGCAGAGUCCACGAGGAUCUGUUCGUCACUGUAAGAGUUCAAAAAGUGUCUUUCUAUGAAUUCAGACGUAUUUAUUUUAUAUCCUGAACAUUUUAACUUUAUACAUCAAGUGUUCUAAACAUGGUAGAGUUUACUCAGAGACCUCACACACCGUGUUUAAUUCAUGGACUGUUUAUAAAAAGGGGACAUCACACCGUGGUUUGUGGACGGCUGGUUUUGAAGCCUCAAGUUUGACACGUUGGAGGCAGCCAUCUUUGUUUUGGAGUCAAAAGUGACCAUAUCUGGACCAGGGGUCAGAGGUGAAGAGGAGUGAGGUGGUUAUCAGUGAAUUACAAUAACCAGAAUAAAUUAAAAUGCUUAUUUUGUCAAUUAAAAAAGAGUCUUUAAACUAAAUUUAAUAACUAACUAAAACAAUCAGAAGACUUCUCUGUGUCUUUAAGAACAACAUGUUUUAGGUCCCUGUGGUGUCACUCUUCAAUCUCAGGUCGCCCAGCCUCAAACCAUACCCUGCUCUAUCGUGGACUUGUCUCUAAAGGGGACCAUUAUUUUAAAAUCAGACGUCAUGCAGUAUAAAGGAAUAUUUGGGACUUCUGAUUAAAACCAUGAACUCAAGUGGAGAUAGAAAUGAGCUCAUUUCCUCUUAGACCUCUCUGCAGGAGGACUUCUUCAUGCAUGAAUGAUGUCGCCCCCUGCUGGUCACUAAAAAGAAUACAGGCUGCUUCCUUCACAUCAGACCAGGAGGGAGGCUCAGUCUACUUUCUGAACAGUCAUUUCCUUUAAACACAGAGGAGACAUCUUUAAACACUGUCCUGGUGAGGGAGGGCGACUCUGCCUUAAAGUGAAAUUAAAGGUCAAUAUUCUAAAAUAUAGAAAUUUCUGGCAGUAAAAAUAUAAAAGCUGCCAGUUUAUAAAUCCCCUUAAAUAAUCUUAAACACUCCUAACAUUGUUUUUGUUGUUUCAGAGUAAUUGGCAGCUACUGGAUUAUUAAAAAACAAAAUAAAGGCAAUAAAAGAAAUCAAAUAUUUAUGAACACCAUCACUACAACUAUAAUUUAAUAAUCCAUUAAAAGAUCAUUCGUUGACAGUUCUCAACUCUUUCUGAUCAUUCUUAAAUAAAAAUGUUAAAUUUGUCAUUUUCAGAUUUUUAAAAGUUUUGCUUUUUGUUGAAAAGUUCUGGAUUUGCUUGUUGGAGGACUUUUAAAGAUUUUUGAACAAAUUAAUAUUUUAAAGAUGACAGGAUUGAUCAGUUGAAUUUUUAAGAAUGCAGAUUAUUAAUAUCUAACAUAGUUAAUCUUUUUUUAUCCUCCUUUUCAACAUGAACUUAAUAUUUUGUGUCCGGUUGUCUCAGAGCUGUUUCAGCUCUCAUGUCUGAUCAUUUCAAAGUUUAUCUUUGUGAUAUUUAAAAUAAUCUAUUUGAUAAACAGAAGUUAUCCCUGUAGUUCUUCUCUCAUUCAGCUCAGUGUGUGUCUGUGUUUCUAAACUGUUCAUGAAGCUACAACAAACAAGUGUUGAUGGAAAGGGAAGAGACGCGUGUUCACGUCUCUCUGUCUCUCUGUCUCUCUGUUCGUCUGGACACUAAAUAUUUUUUGAUAUUCAUUUUAGCCAAAUUAGUAUUUAAAUUAGACUUAUCUAAAUAUGUAUAUUGUACACUAGAGGUAUAUACAGGAGCAGAUAUUCAACCAAAGUCUUUGUACAGAUUCUCCUCAGAUAUUUUCACAAACUUUAAAAACAGCAGAACUUUCCUUUAACUGUAAAUCAUGAGAGAAUCUGAUCUGAUGUUCUGACCUUCAGCGUGUGGAGAAAACAUUAAAGCAUGACACAGCUCUAUCUUUAAA
Long non-coding RNA from Notolabrus celidotus (New Zealand spotty), 2228 nucleotides. RefSeq lists it as uncharacterized. NCBI's taxonomy places the organism in Eukaryota, Metazoa, Chordata, Actinopteri, Labriformes, Labridae. The transcript has 2 exons. The record is from RefSeq and is a predicted model, not a curated record.